GGGCCCGCACAAGCAGUGGAGCAUGUGGUUUAAUUCGAUGCAACGCGAAGAACCUUACCAGGUCUUGACAUCCCUUGCAAUGCUGUAGAGAUACAGUGGAGGUUAUCAAGGAGACAGGUGGUGCAUGGUUGUCGUCAGCUCGUGUCGUGAGAUGUUGGGUUAAGUCCCGCAACGAGCGCAACCCACGUCUUUAGUUGCCAGCAUUUAGUUGGGCACUCUAGAGAGACUGCCGGUGACAAACCGGAGGAAGGUGAGGAUGACGUCAAGUCAGCAUGCCCCUUAUGUCCUGGGCUACACACGUGCUACAAUGGUUAAGACAAAGAGUCGCGAGUUCGUGAGAAGGCAAGCUAACCUCAAAAACCUAGUCUUAGUUCGGAUUGCAGGCUGCAACUCGCCUGCAUG
This 402-nucleotide ribosomal RNA is filed under the name uncultured bacterium. Its description in RNAcentral is "bacterial SSU rRNA". It matches the Rfam family "Bacterial small subunit ribosomal RNA", at positions 917 to 1322 of the family's 1533-position model. The record is from RNAcentral.